RNAcentral lists this ribosomal RNA (484 nucleotides) under uncultured bacterium. Its description in RNAcentral is "partial 16S ribosomal RNA". It matches the Rfam family "Bacterial small subunit ribosomal RNA", at positions 30 to 507 of the family's 1533-position model. The record is from RNAcentral.
AUUGAACGCUGGCGGCGGGCCUAACACAUGCAAGUCGAGCGGAUGAAGGGAGCUUUCUCCUGGAUUCAGCGGCGGACGGGUGAGUAAUGCCUAGGAAUCUGCCUUGUAGUGGGGGAUGACGUCCGGAAACGGGCGCUAAUACCGCAUACGUCCUGAUGUAGAAAGUGGGGGAUCUUCGGACCUCACGCUAUCAGCUGAGCCUAGGUCGGAUUAGCUAGUUGGUGGGGUAAGGGCCUACCAAGGCGACGAUCCGUAACUGGUCUGAGAGGAUGAUCAGUCACACUGGAACUGAGACACGGUCCAGACUCCUACGGGAGGCAGCAGUGGGGAAUAUUCGACAAUGGGCGAAAGCCUGAUCCAGCCAUGCCGCGUGUGUGAAGAAGGUCUUCGGAUUGUAAAGCACUUUAAGUUGGGAGGAAGGGCAGUAAGUUAAUACCUUGCUGUCUUGACGUUACCAACAGAAUAAGCACCGGCUAACUUCGUG